This 486-nucleotide ribosomal RNA is filed under the name uncultured bacterium. Its description in RNAcentral is "partial 16S ribosomal RNA". It matches the Rfam family "Bacterial small subunit ribosomal RNA", at positions 28 to 507 of the family's 1533-position model. The record is from RNAcentral.
GAUGAACGCUAGCGGCAGGCUUAACACAUGCAAGUCGAGGGGCAGCGCGGGAUAGCAAUAUCCUGGCGGCGACCGGCGGAAGGGUGCGUAACGCGUGAGCGACAUGCCCGUUGCCCGGGGACAACCGGUGGAAACGCCGACUAAUCCCCGAUGGGAUAUUGUGCCGCAUGGCACGAUAUUGAAAGUUACGGCGGCGACGGAUUGGCUCGCGUCCGAUUAGCUUGUUGGCGGGGUAACGGCCCACCAAGGCUGCGAUCGGUAGGGGUUCUGAGAGGAAGGCCCCCCACAAUGGGACUGAGACACGGCCCAUACGCCUACGGGAGGCAGCAGUGAGGAAUAUUGGUCAAUGGGCGGAAGCCUGAACCAGCCAUGCCGCGUGCGGGAAGGAGGCCCUAUGGGCUGUGAACCGCUUUUGCCUGGGGGCAAUAAGGGCGUCGCGCACGUCCGAUGAGAGUACCAGGCGAAUAAGCAUCGGCUAACUCCGUG